UGCUUCCUGGGGUGUUCGCCAGCACGUGGAUGUCCCUGAGCCGAUGCUUUUUUAUUAGGGUCCUACUUGUGUGCCAGUGUGCAUGCCCAGAAUUUGCCGGGAAGCCUGCGGUACAUAACUUAGCACCCGCCUUGAACCAAUGGGUUCAAGGGCUAACACCGAGCAGCGGCACCUUGGGAAGUCU
This 184-nucleotide non-coding RNA is filed under the name Lysobacter sp. N42. RNAcentral describes it as "6S / SsrS RNA". It matches the Rfam family "6S / SsrS RNA". From Rfam's summary of the family: E. coli 6S RNA was the first non coding RNA to be sequenced, but its function was unknown until recently. The record is from Rfam by way of RNAcentral. Lineage: Bacteria; Pseudomonadati; Pseudomonadota; Gammaproteobacteria; Lysobacterales; Lysobacteraceae.